RNAcentral lists this long non-coding RNA (1450 nucleotides) under Homo sapiens (human). RNAcentral's name for it is "long intergenic non-protein coding RNA 2395". Lineage: Eukaryota; Metazoa; Chordata; Mammalia; Primates; Hominidae. The record is from RNAcentral.
AGUACCAGGCAGGCUGUGGAGUAAGGAAGGACCACAGCAGAGUAAAGCAAUGGAGACCGAGGUCUCAGAAACCCUCAGGGAAGUUGGCAUUUUAACUGGUCUUUGAAGACCAGAUGAGGAAACUGAGGCUGAGAGGGUAGAGAACUUUGCCUGAGGUCACUCAGCAGGGACCCACCCAUCACAGUAAAUGCCAGCACUGCUGAUGCCAAAACAAUGUUAUUUGUAGGCCCUCGGAAUUUGUGACCUGAAGGAAGAAGAGCAGGGCCGUGGGAAGUAUGUAACCAGUGUCAUGCCCCUGGUCCCAAGGAAGCAGUGGCUUGUGAGCCCGGUGCCCCCCCGGGCCUCCUCAGUGAGCUGAGGAGGCUCAGCAGUGCCUGCACGUCCCCUCGCCACAAUGUCAUGUGCCACCUCUUCAAAGGAGGGAUGUACCAGCUAGUGGACGUGACCUUGACUGCAAAGGGCGGCACGCAGCUGAUGUAAUGGUCGCUUAAGUGUUCACAAAUGCCUGAACACCCUGUCCUACCUGGUCCUACCUGGAUGCUGGCCUCAGUAAGCUCCUGGGCUCAUUGAAGAUGAACCUAGCAGUAGUAUUUACACCACUUGUUGUGUGCCCACUGUGGGCCCGGCGCCAUGCCGAGUGCUCUAUGGAUGUGAGAGAAACGGAGGCCCAGAAAGCAGAAAUGAUGUGUUAAGAUCACUCAUCAAGCUGAUGGUACAGAGUGCUGGGAGAGAAAAGCAUACGACAUAGACAGGGAGGUCAAGCUCCACCACGCAGAUGAGGUGCAGGCCACCAGUCUUCCUCUGCCACAUCUCUUUCUGAAAAGGCAGCCUGUGCUGAGAAACCAUGACUGAGUAAGCCAAGCUUUGUUGGCCGCACCUGCCAAGCCACAGGGUGCCUCAGGCUUGGAGCAUCCCGGAGCCAGUUACAACCCAAGACUUCAGCCUUCUGGAAGGUGUUGGGUCAGCCACCCUGAAGGACGAUCCUGCCCAAGUGACAUGCUUUGCUCUUCCUUCUCACCCAGGACUUCACAUUCACCCUUGCAAUCCAUGUGGGGACACUGUUGGAUAGGAGGCGUGGUCCCAGCGUGGUCUCCCUGUCUGGGCCUCUGCCUAUGCCAAAUGUUUGCCUUACGCUGCACACUCAAGAGGUUCCAUGUAUACAGAUGGGAAUUCCAGAGCUACAGAAAAGGCAGCAAGCACCAUGAUUUAAGCUAACCAGUGUGGAUUCACACCUUCCUCUCUCUCUAUCAGUGGCAGAACUACCAGCUAGAGUAAGAAGUGGUUGAUCCAGGACCUAAACAUUCUGGAAACUCUUGCCCACUUCUGGGAGAAAUGACCCAAUCCAUAGUACUAAGCACACCUUAACUUUCGUAGGACGCAGGCAAGUUGUCAUACCGUGUGCCUAAAUAUAGAAAAAUGAUCCACUGGACUAAUAAAGUGUUAAAUAAAA